This 492-nucleotide ribosomal RNA is filed under the name uncultured bacterium. RNAcentral describes it as "partial 16S ribosomal RNA". It matches the Rfam family "Bacterial small subunit ribosomal RNA", at positions 29 to 507 of the family's 1533-position model. The record is from RNAcentral.
AGUGAACGCUGGCGGUAGGCCUAACACAUGCAAGUCGAACGGCAGCACAGUAAGAGCUUGCUCUUACGGGUGGCGAGUGGCGGACGGGUGAGGAAUACAUCGGAAUCUACUUUUUCGUGGGGGAUAACGUAGGGAAACUUACGCUAAUACCGCAUACGACCUACGGGGGAAAGCAGGGGAUCUUCGGACCUUGCGCGAUUGAAUGAGCCGAUGUCGGAUUAGCUAGUUGGCGGGGUAAAGGCCCACCAAGGCGACGAUCCGUAGCUGGUCUGAGAGGAUGAUCAGCCACACUGGAACUGAGACACGGUCCAGACUCCUACGGGAGGCAGCAGUGGGGAAUAUUGGACAAUGGGCGCAAGCCUGAUCCAGCCAUACCGCGUGGGUGAAGAAGGCCUUCGGGUUGUAAAGCCCUUUUGUUGGGAAAGAAAAGCAGCAGGUUAAUACCCCGCUGUUCUGACGGUACCAAAAGAAUAAGCACCGGCUAACUUCGUG